UACGUAGGGUGCGAGCGUUAAUCGGAAUUACUGGGCGUAAAGCGUGCGCAGGCGGUUUUGUAGGCCAGAUGUGAAAUCCCCGGGCUUAACCUGGGAAUGGCAUUUGGGACUGCAAGGCUGGAGUGCGGCAGAGGAGACUGGAAUUCCUGGUGUAGCAGUGAAAUGCGUAGAUAUCAGGAGGAACACCGAUGGCGAAGGCAGGUCUCUGGGCUGACACUGACGCUCAUGCACGAAAGCGUGGGGAGCAAACAGG
Molecule: ribosomal RNA, 253 nt
Filed under: uncultured bacterium
Lineage: Bacteria
Description: partial 16S ribosomal RNA
Rfam family: Bacterial small subunit ribosomal RNA
Source: RNAcentral